Long non-coding RNA from Oreochromis niloticus (Nile tilapia), 268 nucleotides. RefSeq lists it as uncharacterized. The transcript has 2 exons. The record is from RefSeq and is a predicted model, not a curated record. NCBI's taxonomy places the organism in Eukaryota, Metazoa, Chordata, Actinopteri, Cichliformes, Cichlidae.
GUAUUGAUGUUUUUGGAGACUCUGUAAUUCUGUCCCUGCCUGCUGGAGCCGUUGGAUUAUUUCUGGUGACUGUAAGGAGUUUUGUUUCCUCCCCAGGAUUUCGCCUCGUCUGGUUUGUUUUCCGUCUGGAGGGUUUGGCAAUAAACAGUACCAAAUCGAGUGCACUACCUGUGUGUGUUUCCGUCACCAGCACGUCCUGGCUCCGCGUCCCCAUUCAUACGCUGUUGUAUAUACUUUGUCCUUGUAAAUACCUCCCCAUCACUGUAAA